Molecule: unclassified non-coding RNA, 348 nt
Filed under: soil metagenome
Description: partial contains 5.8S ribosomal RNA, internal transcribed spacer 2, and large subunit ribosomal RNA
Rfam family: 5.8S ribosomal RNA (bases 1-120)
Source: RNAcentral
GAUGAAGAACGUAGCAAAAUGCGAUAAGUAAUGUGAAUUGCAGAAUUCAGUGAAUCAUCGAAUCUUUGAACGCACAUUGCGCCCGCUGGUAUUCCGGCGGGCAUGCCUGUUCGAGCGUCAUUUCAACCCUCAAGCCCCCGGGUUUGGUGUUGGGGAUCGGCUCUGCCCUUCUGGGCGGUGCCGCCCCCGAAAUACAUUGGCGGUCUCGCUGCAGCCUCCAUUGCGUAGUAGCUAACACCUCGCAACUGGAACGCGGCGCUGCCAUGCCGUAAAACCCCAACUUCUGAAUGUUGACCUCGGAUCAGGUAGGAAUACCCGCUGAACUUAAGCAUAUCAAUAAGCGGAGGA